GGAGAGAUGCAUCAAUCUGUUCCACUGUCUGAAUGAACUGAAUGACCAUUCUCUAGUGGAGGAAAUCCAAAGCUACCUGAGAUCAGGAAGUCUCUCAAAAUCUAAACUCUCAUCUGGACAGUGGUCAGCUCUGGUCUUCAUGUUGCUGACCUCAGAGAAGCUGGAUGUGUUUGACCUGAAGAAAUAUAUCAGAUCAGAUGCGGCUCUUCUCAAACUUCUCCCAGUUGUCAGAUCCUCUAGAACAGCCCUGCUGAACGAAUGUAAACUCACCAAGAAAAGCUGAGGCACUGGCUUCUGUUCUCAAAUCAAACUCAUGCUGUCUGAGACUGCUGGACAUGAGUGGCAAUAAACUCCAGGAUUCAGGAGUGAAGCUGCUCUCUGCUGGACUGGAGGAUCCACACUGUAAACUGGAGACAUUGAAGUUGAAUGAUUGCAACCUAACUGAGAAAUCCUGUGAGGUGUUGGCUUCAACUCUCAGCUCAAACACCUCAAGUUUGAGAGAGCUUGACCUGUGAGGAAAUGAACUCCAGG
This is a non-coding RNA of Salmo salar (Atlantic salmon), 531 nucleotides long. The record is from RefSeq and is a predicted model, not a curated record. Lineage: Eukaryota; Metazoa; Chordata; Actinopteri; Salmoniformes; Salmonidae.